Molecule: ribosomal RNA, 1795 nt
Filed under: Escherichia coli
Lineage: Bacteria; Pseudomonadati; Pseudomonadota; Gammaproteobacteria; Enterobacterales; Enterobacteriaceae
Description: partial 23S ribosomal RNA
Rfam family: Bacterial large subunit ribosomal RNA
Source: RNAcentral
GGUUAAGCGACUAAGCGUACACGGUGGAUGCCCUGGCAGUCAGAGGCGAUGAAGGACGUGCUAAUCUGCGAUAAGCGUCGGUAAGGUGAUAUGAACCGUUAUAACCGGCGAUUUCCGAAUGGGGAAACCCAGUGUGAUUCGUCACACUAUCAUUAACUGAAUCCAUAGGUUAAUGAGGCGAACCGGGGGAACUGAAACAUCUAAGUACCCCGAGGAAAAGAAAUCAACCGAGAUUCCCCCAGUAGCGGCGAGCGAACGGGGAGCAGCCCAGAGCCUGAAUCAGUGUGUGUGUUAGUGGAAGCGUCUGGAAAGGCGCGCGAUACAGGGUGACAGCCCCGUACACAAAAAUGCACAUGCUGUGAGCUCGAUGAGUAGGGCGGGACACGUGGUAUCCUGUCUGAAUAUGGGGGGACCAUCCUCCAAGGCUAAAUACUCCUGACUGACCGAUAGUGAACCAGUACCGUGAGGGAAAGGCGAAAAGAACCCCGGCGAGGGGAGUGAAAAAGAACCUGAAACCGUGUACGUACAAGCAGUGGGAGCACGCUUAGGCGUGUGACUGCGUACCUUUUGUAUAAUGGGUCAGCGACUUAUAUUCUGUAGCAAGGUUAACCGAAUAGGGGAGCCGAAGGGAAACCGAGUCUUAACUGGGCGUUAAGUUGCAGGGUAUAGACCCGAAACCCGGUGAUCUAGCCAUGGGCAGGUUGAAGGUUGGGUAACACUAACUGGAGGACCGAACCGACUAAUGUUGAAAAAUUAGCGGAUGACUUGUGGCUGGGGGUGAAAGGCCAAUCAAACCGGGAGAUAGCUGGUUCUCCCCGAAAGCUAUUUAGGUAGCGCCUCGUGAAUUCAUCUCCGGGGGUAGAGCACUGUUUCGGCAAGGGGGUCAUCCCGACUUACCAACCCGAUGCAAACUGCGAAUACCGGAGAAUGUUAUCACGGGAGACACACGGCGGGUGCUAACGUCCGUCGUGAAGAGGGAAACAACCCAGACCGCCAGCUAAGGUCCCAAAGUCAUGGUUAAGUGGGAAACGAUGUGGGAAGGCCCAGACAGCCAGGAUGUUGGCUUAGAAGCAGCCAUCAUUUAAAGAAAGCGUAAUAGCUCACUGGUCGAGUCGGCCUGCGCGGAAGAUGUAACGGGGCUAAACCAUGCACCGAAGCUGCGGCAGCGACGCUUAUGCGUUGUUGGGUAGGGGAGCGUUCUGUAAGCCUGUGAAGGUGUGCUGUGAGGCAUGCUGGAGGUAUCAGAAGUGCGAAUGCUGACAUAAGUAACGAUAAAGCGGGUGAAAAGCCCGCUCGCCGGAAGACCAAGGGUUCCUGUCCAACGUUAAUCGGGGCAGGGUGAGUCGACCCCUAAGGCGAGGCCGAAAGGCGUAGUCGAUGGGAAACAGGUUAAUAUUCCUGUACUUGGUGUUACUGCGAAGGGGGGACGGAGAAGGCUAUGUUGGCCGGGCGACGGUUGUCCCGGUUUAAGCGUGUAGGCUGGUUUUCCAGGCAAAUCCGGAAAAUCAAGGCUGAGGCGUGAUGACGAGGCACUACGGUGCUGAAGCAACAAAUGCCCUGCUUCCAGGAAAAGCCUCUAAGCAUCAGGUAACAUCAAAUCGUACCCCAAACCGACACAGGUGGUCAGGUAGAGAAUACCAAGGCGCUUGAGAGAACUCGGGUGAAGGAACUAGGCAAAAUGGUGCCGUAACUUCGGGAGAAGGCACGCUGAUAUGUAGGUGAAGUCCCUCGCGGAUGGAGCUGAAAUCAGUCGAAGAUACCAGCUGGCUGCAACUGUUUAUUAAAAACACAGCAC